RNAcentral lists this ribosomal RNA (256 nucleotides) under uncultured bacterium. RNAcentral describes it as "partial 16S ribosomal RNA". It matches the Rfam family "Bacterial small subunit ribosomal RNA", at positions 524 to 776 of the family's 1533-position model. The record is from RNAcentral.
UACGUAGGUGGCAAGCGUUGUCCGGAAUUAUUGGGCGUAAAGCGCGCGCAGGCGGCCUCUUAAGUCUGAUGUGAAAGCCCCCGGCUCAACCGGGGAGGGCCAUUGGAAACUGGGAGGCUUGAGUAUAGGAGAGAAGAGUGGAAUUCCACGUGUAGCGGUGAAAAUGCGUAGAGAUGUGGAGGAACACCAGUGGCGAAGGCGACUCUUUGGCCUAUAACUGACGCUGGAGGCGCGAAAAGCGUGGGGAGCAAACAGG